RNAcentral lists this ribosomal RNA (253 nucleotides) under uncultured bacterium. Its description in RNAcentral is "partial 16S ribosomal RNA". It matches the Rfam family "Bacterial small subunit ribosomal RNA", at positions 524 to 776 of the family's 1533-position model. The record is from RNAcentral.
UACGGAGGGUGCAAGCGUUAUCCGGAUUCACUGGGUUUAAAGGGUGCGUAGGUGGGCAGUUAAGUCAGUGGUGAAAUCUCCGGGCUUAACCCGGCAACUGCCAUUGAUACUAUCUGUCUUGAAUAUCGUGGAGGUAAGCGGAAUAUGUCAUGUAGCGGUGAAAUGCUUAGAUAUGACAUAGAACACCAAUUGCGAAGGCAGCUUACUACCCGAAUAUUGACACUGAGGCACGAAAGCGUGGGGAUCAAACAGG